AGCGUACACGGUGGAUGCCCUGGCAGUCAGAGGCGAUGAAGGGCGUGCUAAUCUGCGAUAAGCGCCGGUAAGGUGAUAUGAACCGUUAUAACCGGCGAUACCCGAAUGGGGAAACCCAGUGUGAUUCGUCACACUAUCAUUAACUGAAUCCAUAGGUUAAUGAGGCGAACCGGGGGAACUGAAACAUCUAAGUACCCCGAGGAAAAGAAAUCAACCGAGAUUCCCCCAGUAGCGGCGAGCGAACGGGGAGGAGCCCAGAGCCUGAAUCAGCAUGUGUGUUAGUGGAAGCGUCUGGAAAGGCGCGCGAUACAGGGUGACAGCCCCGUACACAAAAGCGCAUGUGCUGUGAGCUCGAUGAGUAGGGCGGGACACGUGGUAUCCUGUCUGAAUAUGGGGGGACCAUCCUCCAAGGCUAAAUACUCCUGACUGACCGAUAGUGAACCAGUACCGUGAGGGAAAGGCGAAAAGAACCCCGGCGAGGGGAGUGAAAAAGAACCUGAAACCGUGUACGUACAAGCAGUGGGAGCACAGGUUUACCUGUGUGACUGCGUACCUUUUGUAUAAUGGGUCAGCGACUUAUAUUCUGUAGCAAGGUUAACCGCAUAGGGGAGCCGGAGGGAAACCGAGUCUUAAUUGGGCGUUAAGUUGCAGGGUAUAGACCCGAAACCCGGUGAUCUAGCCAUGGGCAGGUUGAAGGUUGGGUAACACUAACUGGAGGACCGAACCGACUAAUGUUGAAAAAUUAGCGGAUGACCUGUGGCUGGGGGUGAAAGGCCAAUCAAACCGGGAGAUAGCUGGUUCUCCCCGAAAGCUAUUUAGGUAGCGCCUCGUGAAUUCAUCUCCGGGGGUAGAGCACUGUUUCGGCUAGGGGGCCAUCCCGGCUUACCAACCCGAUGCAAACUGCGAAUACCGGAGAAUGUUAUCACGGGAGACACACGGCGGGUGCUAACGUCCGUCGUGAAGAGGGAAACAACCCAGACCGCCAGCUAAGGUCCCAAAGUCAUGGUUAAGUGGGAAACGAUGUGGGAAGGCCCAGACAGCCAGGAUGUUGGCUUAGAAGCAGCCAUCAUUUAAAGAAAGCGUAAUAGCUCACUGGUCGAGUCGGCCUGCGCGGAAGAUGUAACGGGGCUAAACCAUGCACCGAAGCUGCGGCAGCGAACGUAUCACUUAAAGCGAUUCAGCGGGUUACGAUUGACGGAGCGAAGCGACGUCAAAGCGUAUACAAAGUCGAGUCGGUUUAAGGAUACGUUCGUUGGGUAGGGGAGCGUUCUGUAAGCCUGUGAAGGUGGCCUGUGAGGGUUGCUGGAGGUAUCAGAAGUGCGAAUGCUGACAUAAGUAACGAUAAAGCGGGUGAAAAGCCCGCUCGCCGGAAGACCAAGGGUUCCUGUCCAACGUUAAUCGGGGCAGGGUGAGUCGACCCCUAAGGCGAGGCCGAAAGGCGUAGUCGAUGGGAAACGGGUUAAUAUUCCCGUACUUGGUGUUACUGCGAAGGGGGGACGGAGAAGGCUAUGUUGGCCGGGCGACGGUUGUCCCGGUUUAAGCGUGUAGGUGUGUGUUCCAGGUAAAUCCGGUUCACUUUAACACUGAGGCGUGAUGACGAGGCACUACGGUGCUGAAGCAACAAAUGCCCUGCUUCCAGGAAAAGCCUCUAAGCAUCAGGUAACAUCAAAUCGUACCCCAAACCGACACAGGUGGUCAGGUAGAGAAUACCAAGGCGCUUGAGAGAACUCGGGUGAAGGAACUAGGCAAAAUGGUGCCGUAACUUCGGGAGAAGGCACGCUGACACGUAGGUGAAGUGAUUUACUCAUGGAGCUGAAGUCAGUCGAAGAUACCAGCUGGCUGCAACUGUUUAUUAAAAACACAGCACUGUGCAAACACGAAAGUGGACGUAUACGGUGUGACGCCUGCCCGGUGCCGGAAGGUUAAUUGAUGGGGUCAGCGCAAGCGAAGCUCCUGAUCGAAGCCCCGGUAAACGGCGGCCGUAACUAUAACGGUCCUAAGGUAGCGAAAUUCCUUGUCGGGUAAGUUCCGACCUGCACGAAUGGCGUAAUGAUGGCCAGGCUGUCUCCACCCGAGACUCAGUGAAAUUGAACUCGCUGUGAAGAUGCAGUGUACCCGCGGCAAGACGGAAAGACCCCGUGAACCUUUACUAUAGCUUGACACUGAACAUUGAGCCUUGAUGUGUAGGAUAGGUGGGAGGCUUUGAAGCGUGGACGCCAGUCUGCGUGGAGCCGACCUUGAAAUACCACCCUUUAAUGUUUGAUGUUCUAACGUGGACCCGUAAUCCGGGUUGCGGACAGUGUCUGGUGGGUAGUUUGACUGGGGCGGUCUCCUCCUAAAGAGUAACGGAGGAGCACGAAGGUUGGUUAAUCCUGGUCGGACAUCAGGAGGUUAGUGCAAUGGCAUAAGCCAGCUUGACUGCGAGCGUGACGGCGCGAGCAGGUGCGAAAGCAGGUCAUAGUGAUCCGGUGGUUCUGAAUGGAAGGGCCAUCGCUCAACGGAUAAAAGGUACUCCGGGGAUAACAGGCUGAUACCGCCCAAGAGUUCAUAUCGACGGCGGUGUUUGGCACCUCGAUGUCGGCUCAUCACAUCCUGGGGCUGAAGUAGGUCCCAAGGGUAUGGCUGUUCGCCAUUUAAAGUGGUACGCGAGCUGGGUUUAGAACGUCGUGAGACAGUUCGGUCCCUAUCUGCCGUGGGCGCUGGAGAACUGAGGGGGGCUGCUCCUAGUACGAGAGGACCGGAGUGGACGCAUCACUGGUGUUCGGGUUGUCAUGCCAAUGGCACUGCCCGGUAGCUAAAUGCGGAAGAGAUAAGUGCUGAAAGCAUCUAAGCACGAAACUUGCCCCGAGAUGAGUUCU
RNAcentral lists this ribosomal RNA (2858 nucleotides) under Salmonella enterica subsp. enterica serovar Manhattan. Its description in RNAcentral is "bacterial LSU rRNA". It matches the Rfam family "Bacterial large subunit ribosomal RNA". Lineage: Bacteria; Pseudomonadati; Pseudomonadota; Gammaproteobacteria; Enterobacterales; Enterobacteriaceae. The record is from RNAcentral.